CCUACGGGAGGCAGCAGUGAGGAAUAUUGGUCAAUGGACGAGAGUCUGAACCAGCCAAGUCGCGUGAAGGAUGACUGCCCUAUGGGUUGUAAACUUCUUUUAUAUGGGAGUAAAAUGUUCCACGUGUGGGUUUUUGUAUGUACCAUAUGAAUAAGGAUCGGCUAACUCCGUGCCAGCAGCCGCGGUAAUACGGAGGAUCCGAGCGUUAUCCGGAUUUAUUGGGUGUAAAGGGAGCGUAGGUGGAUUGUUAAGUCAGUUGUGAAAGUUUGCGGCUCAACCGUAAAAUUGCAGUUGAAACUGGCAGUCUUGAGUACAGUAGAGGUGGGCGGAAUUCGUGGUGUAGCGGUGAAAUGCUUAGAUAUCACGAAGAACUCCGAUGGCGAAGGCAGCAUACCGGGGCCCGACUGACGCUGAGGCACGAAAGCGUGGGGAUCGAACAGGAUUAGAUACCCGUGUAGUC
RNAcentral lists this ribosomal RNA (460 nucleotides) under uncultured bacterium. RNAcentral's name for it is "partial 16S ribosomal RNA". It matches the Rfam family "Bacterial small subunit ribosomal RNA", at positions 338 to 795 of the family's 1533-position model. The record is from RNAcentral.